Molecule: small nuclear RNA, 181 nt
Filed under: Ensifer meliloti
Lineage: Bacteria; Pseudomonadati; Pseudomonadota; Alphaproteobacteria; Hyphomicrobiales; Rhizobiaceae
Description: Sinorhizobium meliloti small ncRNA SmrC45
Rfam family: Alphaproteobacterial sRNA ar45 (bases 1-148)
Source: RNAcentral
GCCCAAAGUCGCACGUGCCUGUGGGUGUCCGCCGACCCUCGAUUAGGUGAGGUUAUCGGUAAGGUACCUGGAACUAACCCCUCCAGUCGCUAUUCCGGCCAACCGGGAAAUGCGAGGACAUCUUGAAGCAACGACGGUGCGGGCCUUUCUGGUGUCUGCCGGCUCUCCAACAGCCGGGGUU